Molecule: ribosomal RNA, 885 nt
Filed under: Dothideomycetes sp. 7 GS-2016
Lineage: Eukaryota; Fungi; Ascomycota; Dothideomycetes
Description: eukaryotic LSU rRNA
Rfam family: Eukaryotic large subunit ribosomal RNA
Source: RNAcentral
AUCAAUAAGCGGAGGAAAAGAAACCAACAGGGAUUACCUUAGUAACGGCGAGUGAAGCGGUAAUAGCUCAAAUUUGAAAUCUUACUCUUUCAGAGUACGAAUUGUAAUUUGUAGAGGAUGUUUUUGAGUAAUAUCAAUCUAAGUUUCCUGGAACGGAACGUCAUAGAGGGUGAGAAUCCCGUAUGUGAUUGAUUAAUUCUCUAUACAAAACUCCUUCGAAGAGUCGAGUUGUUUGGGAAUGCAGCUCUAAAUGGGAGGUAAAUUUCUUCUAAAGCUAAAUAUCUGCCAGAGACCGAUAGCGCACAAGUAGAGUGAUCGAAAGAUGAAAAGCACUUUGAAAAGAGAGUUAAAAAGCACGUGAAAUUGUUGAAAGGGAAGCGUUUGAGAUUAGACUUGUUGUCAGUAUUCGCUUGGUUCUUGAACUGAGUUAUUUGCUGUUAACAGGCCAACAUCAUUUUCAUCUAUCGGAUAAUUGCUUAGGAAUGUAGCUCCUCGGAGUGUUAUAGCCUAUGUCGAUACGAUAAGAUGGGAGUGAGGUCCGCGAGAAAUCUAGGAUGUUGGCGUAAUGAUCUUAAACGGCCCGUCUUGAAACACGGACCAAGGAGUCGAUCAAUUAUGCGAGUUUUCGGGUGUUAAACCCUUAAGCGUAAUGAAAGUGAACGGAGGUGAGAGCUUAGGCGCAUCAUCGACCGAUCCUGAUGUCUUCGGAUGGAUUUGAGUAAGAGCAUAAUUGAUCGGACCCGAAAGAUGGUGAACUAUGCGUGAAUAGGGUGAAGCCAGAGGAAACUCUGGUGGAGGCUCGCAGCGGUUCUGACGUGCAAAUCGAUCGUCAAAUUUGCGUAUAGGGGCGAAAGACUAAUCGAACCAUCUAGUAGCUGGGUCCUG